Molecule: ribosomal RNA, 2037 nt
Filed under: Clostridioides difficile
Lineage: Bacteria; Bacillati; Bacillota; Clostridia; Peptostreptococcales; Peptostreptococcaceae
Description: bacterial LSU rRNA
Rfam family: Bacterial large subunit ribosomal RNA
Source: RNAcentral
AGUAAUGUCUAAGUAUCAUUAAGUGAAUACAUAGCUUAAUGAGGGGAACUCAGGGAACUGAAACAUCUAAGUACCUGAAGGAAGAGAAAGAAAUUCGAUUCCGUAAGUAGCGGCGAGCGAACGCGGAUUAGCCCAAACCAAUAAAGUUUUCUUUAUUGGGGUUGCGGACAUAUCAUAACGAAGAGGUAUCGUAAUUGAAGAGGUUUGGAAAGACCCACCACAGAAGGUAAUAGUCCUGUAUGUUAAACGAGAAGACUUUAGAUAUGAUCCAGAGUACCACGGGACACGUGAAACCCUGUGGGAAGCAGGAGGGACCACCCUCCAAGGCUAAAUACUACCUAGUGACCGAUAGCGUAUAGUACCGUGAGGGAAAGGUGAAAAGAACCCCGGGAGGGGAGUGAAAUAGAACCUGAAACCCUGCACUUACAAGCUGUGGAAGCACAUUUCUUGUGUGACCGCGUACUUUUUGUAGAACGGGCCAACGAGUUACGUUAAGUAGCAAGGUUAAGCACUUAAGGUGCGGAGCCGUAGCGAAAGCGAGUUUUAACUGAGCGUUCAGUUACUUGACGUAGACCCGAAACCGGGCGACCUACCCAUGAGCAGGAUGAAGCGAAAGUAAAAUUUCGUGGAGGUCCGAACCCACGAGCGUUGAAAAGCUCGGGGAUGACUUGUGGGUAGCGGUGAAAUUCCAAUCGAGCCCGGAGAUAGCUGGUUCUCCCCGAAAUAGCUUUAGGGCUAGCCUCAAGGUGAGAGAUACGGAGGUAGAGCACUGAAUGUCCUAGGGGGUAUUGCACCUACCGAAGACUAUCAAACUCCGAAUGCCGUCAUCUUAUACUUGGGAGUCAGACUGUGGGUGAUAAGAUUCAUAGUCGAAAGGGCAACAGCCCAGAUCGUCAGCUAAGGUCCCUAAAUGUAAGUUAAGUGGUAAAGGAUGUGGGAUUGCACAGACAACCAGGAUGUUGGCUUAGAAGCAGCCACUCAUUCAAAGAGUGCGUAAUAGCUCACUGGUCGAGUGAUCCUGCGCCGAAGAUUUCCGGGGCUAAAACUUACUACCGAAGCUACGGCAUCAGUAAUGAUGGGUAGGGGAGCUUCCCAUACGGGUUGAAGCAUGACCGUAAGGACAUGUGGACAGUAUGGGAGUGAGAAUGUUGGCAUGAGUAGCGAGAUGUGGGUGAGAAUCCCACAGGCCGUAAACCCAAGGUUUCCAGGGGAAGGUUCGUCCGCCCUGGGUUAGUCGGGACCUAAGCUGAGGCCGAAAGGCGUAGGUGAUGGACAACAGGUUGAUAUUCCUGUACUACCGAUAACCGUUUGAGAGAAGGGAUGACACAGUAGGAUAAGCUAAGCACACUGUUGGUUAUGUGUGCCCAAGCAUUGAGGCAGUCAAAGUAGGCAAAUCCGCUUUGAUAAUGCUGGGAUGUGAUGGGGAGCGAAAUUUAGUAGCGAAGUAGCUGAUUUCACACUGUCAAGAAAAGUCUCUAUCGAGGUUAAAGGUACCCGUACCGCAAACCGACACAGGUGGGUGAGGAGAGUAUCCUAAGGCCAGCGAGAGAACUGUUGUUAAGGAACUCGGCAAAAUGACCCCGUAACUUAGGGAUAAGGGGUGCCACCAUCAGGUGGCCGCAGAGAAUAGGCCCAAGCGACUGUUUACCAAAAACAUAGGUUUCUGCUAAGUCGCAAGACGAUGUAUAGGAGCUGACGCCUGCCCGGUGCUGGAAGGUUAAGGGGAUCUGUUAGAGCAAUCGAAGCAGUGAACUUAAGCCCCAGUAAACGGCGGCCGUAACUAUAACGGUCCUAAGGUAGCGAAAUUCCUUGUCGGGUAAGUUCCGACCCGCACGAAAGGCGUAACGAUUUGGGCACUGUCUCAACAACAGACUCGGUGAAAUUGUAAUUCCGGUGAAGAUGCCGGAUACCUGCGACAGGACGGAAAGACCCCAUGGAGCUUUACUGUAGCUUGACAUUGGGUCUUGGUACUACAUGUACAGGAUAGGUGGGAGGCUUUGAAACCAGGACGCCAGUUUUGGCGGAGCCAUCCUUGGG